UACGUAGGGUGCAAGCGUUGUCCGGAAUUAUUGGGCGUAAAGCGCUCGUAGGCGGUCUGUCGCGUCUGCUGUGAAAACUCGGGGCUUAACCCCGGGCCUGCAGUGGGUACGGGCAGACUAGAGUGCGGUAGGGGAGACUGGAAUUCCUGGUGUAGCGGUGAAAUGCGCAGAUAUCAGGAGGAACACCGAUGGCGAAGGCAGGUCUCUGGGCCGAUACUGACGCUGAGGAGCGAAAGCGUGGGGAGCGAACAGG
Molecule: ribosomal RNA, 253 nt
Filed under: uncultured bacterium
Lineage: Bacteria
Description: partial 16S ribosomal RNA
Rfam family: Bacterial small subunit ribosomal RNA
Source: RNAcentral